GUAUGUUUUAAUAUUGCUAGAGAUACACAUAAUAAAGAGCUCAUUGGGACAGUCAGGAUUUUUACAUGAUACUUUGUACACAGACGUCAGAACCCUUUUACAGUUUUUUCCAUAGUUUCACAUAAGAAACAAUAAACUGUAUUUCUUUUAUUUUUCAGCUUCACUGCUCUCAGCACCUUGAAUUACUCUUCCUGGUUGAUUUUUCCUUCUCCUUUCCACUCAUCCUUCAUUAUAGUCCUCUGUGCAAUAUUAGAAUGUUGAUUUGGAAUUUCAAAGCUUGAAAAACAAAAUUGGUUUUCAUAGAAGAAUUAGAGGUAAUAUUUUGUAUAUAAGCUCAUCUUCCAUCAUCCAUAUAUAGCUUAUUAUCUAGUAGAUGGGAGUUUAUUUGCUUAAAAUUAAUCCAUAACUUUUAAUGUUUCUUGCAGACCUAGAAACUUGUGUUCUGCCUCAAAAUAGAUUUCUGUAUGUCUGCUGUGGUGAAGCCUUUUAAACAAUGCAAUUAAGUCAUCAAAUAAAGUGAUUC
RNAcentral lists this long non-coding RNA (523 nucleotides) under Bos taurus (domestic cattle). RNAcentral describes it as "long non-coding RNA NONBTAT021921". Lineage: Eukaryota; Metazoa; Chordata; Mammalia; Artiodactyla; Bovidae. The record is from RNAcentral.